UCACUUUCAGUAUUUACUCGUAACAUUCAACAAGUGGUUUUCAGUUUCUGUCUAGUUUUUAUACUAAUUCUAAGCAUUGUUUAGUGCUAUAGUGAGUGGAAUUAGUGCAUCAAAGUGUUAAUUAAAGUCAGUGAGAAACUGUGUUAAUUAAAGUGAUUUCAACCAAAUCAAAGUUUCAAAAGCCGGCAAAGAGUGAUAAACUAAAAGGGAAAACCCAAUCAAAGGGCACUUUUCAAUGAGCGGCAACACCUUGUAGGCCCAAAAGCCCCACAAACCGGCAGCACAACUAAGCCAUUGGCCUGGUCCGAAAACCGCAAGCACCAAGGACGAGGGCCACACGAGGAUGAGGUGACUCUAGGGCGAUAGACAAAGUGUAUCAAUUAUAAUACGGGCGCACAAGGCGAACGACCCAGAGCCUGGAGCAAAAUAAAGGGGACACCAGCAGGAGUCCAGGCUCCCGGAUUCAGGAAUAGAAGCCAGGGCACUGCGAAA
Molecule: non-coding RNA, 492 nt
Organism: Drosophila bipectinata
Lineage: Eukaryota; Metazoa; Arthropoda; Insecta; Diptera; Drosophilidae
Source: RefSeq, a predicted model, not a curated record